ACGGGAGGCAGCAGUGAGGAAUAUUGGUCAAUGGACGGAAGUCUGAACCAGCCAUGCCGCGUGCAGGAAUAAGGCCCUAUGGGUCGUAAACUGCUUUUGUGGUGGAGCAAUAAGGCGUACGUGUACGUCGAUGAGAGUACAUCACGAAUAAGCAUCGGCUAACUCCGUGCCAGCAGCCGCGGUAAUACGGAGGAUGCAAGCGUUAUCCGGAUUUAUUGGGUUUAAAGGGUGCGUAGGCUGUGCGACAAGUCAGGGGUGAAAGCCCGCCGCCCAACGGUGGAACUGCCUUUGAUACUGUCGCGCUGGAAUACGGAUGCCGUGGGAGGAAUGAGUAGUGUAGCGGUGAAAUGCAUAGAUAUGACGAAGAACACCGAUUGCGUAGGCAGCAGACCAGGCCGUAAAUGACGCUCAUGCACGAAAGUGCGGGGAUCGAACAGGAUUAGAUACCCUGGUA
RNAcentral lists this ribosomal RNA (454 nucleotides) under uncultured Sphingobacterium sp. RNAcentral's name for it is "partial 16S ribosomal RNA". It matches the Rfam family "Bacterial small subunit ribosomal RNA", at positions 341 to 792 of the family's 1533-position model. The record is from RNAcentral. Lineage: Bacteria; Pseudomonadati; Bacteroidota; Sphingobacteriia; Sphingobacteriales; Sphingobacteriaceae.